This 974-nucleotide ribosomal RNA is filed under the name human gut metagenome. Its description in RNAcentral is "bacterial LSU rRNA". It matches the Rfam family "Bacterial large subunit ribosomal RNA", at positions 1950 to 2925 of the family's 2925-position model. The record is from RNAcentral.
CCUAAGGUAGCGAAAUUCCUUGUCGGGUAAGUUCCGACCCGCACGAAAGGCGUAACGAUUUGGGCACUGUCUCAACAAUAGACUCGGUGAAAUUGUAAUCCCGGUGAAGAUGCCGGGUACCUGCGACAGGACGGAAAGACCCCAUGGAGCUUUACUGUAGCUUGACGUUGGGUCUUGGUACUACAUGUACAGGAUAGGUGGGAGACUAUGAAGCAUGGACGCCAGUCUGUGUGGAGUCAUCCUUGGGAUACCACCCUUGUAGUACUGGGAUCCUAACCAUAGGCCUUGAAUCAGGUCUUGGAACACCGUCAGGUGGGCAGUUUGACUGGGGCGGUCGCCUCCUAAAAAGUAACGGAGGCGCUCAAAGGUUUCCUCAGCACGGUCGGAAAUCGUGCGAAGAGUGUAAAGGCAAAAGGAAGCUUGAUUGCAAGACAUACAGGUCGAGCAAGGACGAAAGUCGGACUUAGUGAUCCGGUGGUUCCGCAUGGAAGGGCCAUCGCUCAACGGAUAAAAGCUACCCUGGGGAUAACAGGCUGAUCUCCCCCAAGAGUCCACAUCGACGGGGAGGUUUGGCACCUCGAUGUCGGCUCAUCACAUCCUGGGGCUGUAGUAGGUCCCAAGGGUUGGGCUGUUCGCCCAUUAAAGUGGUACGCGAGCUGGGUUCAAAACGUCGUGAGACAGUUUGGUUCAUAUCCAUCGCGGGCGCAAGAAGUUUGAGGGAGGCUGCUCCUAGUACGAGAGGACCGGAGUGGACGGAUCAACGGUGUACCAGUUGUCACGCCAGUGGCACGGCUGGAAAGCCGCAUCCGGAAAGGAUAAACGCUGAAAGCAUCUAAGCGUGAAGCCCGUCCCGAGAUGAGACUUCUCAUCAGCAAUGAGUAAGACCCCUUAAAGACGAUGAGGUUGAUAGGCUGUGAGUGGAAGGCCCGUAAGGGUUGGAGCGACGCAGUACUAAUAGGUCGAGGUCUUAACUU